RNAcentral lists this non-coding RNA (734 nucleotides) under Anomis mesogona. Lineage: Eukaryota; Metazoa; Arthropoda; Insecta; Lepidoptera; Erebidae. The record is from RNAcentral.
UUUAGUGUUAAUUUUAAAUUAUUUUAAUAAUGAUUUAUUAUUUAAAUGUAGUAAUUAAUAUUAAUUAUUUAAGAAAUUAAGAAUUAGUAAUAUAUUAAUUAAUAACAAAUUUUGUGCCAGCAGUUGCGGUUAUACAAAAAUUGAAUUAAAUUUUAUUAGUAAUUUAAUAAAUAAUUAAUAAAAAUAUAAUUUAAAUUUUAUAAUAUUAUUAGGUGAAAUUUUAAUUAAAUAAAAAUUAUUUAAUUUUUAUGAUUUAAUAAAUUUUAUUAAAAACUAGGAUUAGAUACCCUAUUAUAAAAAUUUUAAAUUUAAAUACUAAAAUAGUAGAUAAUUAUUUAUUGAAACUUAAAUAAUUUGGCGGUAUUUCAGUUCAUUUAGAGGAAUCUGUUUAUUAAUUGAUAAUCCACGAUUAAAUUUACUUAAUUUAAAAUUUUGUAUAUCGUUGUUAAAAAAAUAUUUUUUAAUAAUAAAUAAUAUUUAAAAAUUAAAAUUUAAAAUUAAAUCAGAUCAAGAUACAGAUUAUAAUUAAGAAUAUAAUGGAUUACAAUAAAUUUAUUUAAAUGGAUAAUAAUUUGUAAUAAUUAUUUGAAAGUGGAUUUAAAUGUAAUUUUAUUUAGUUAAAUAAAAUGAUUAAAAAUUGGAAUAUGUACAUAUUGCCCGUCGCUUUCAUAUAAAAAAAAAAUUGAAAUAAGUCGUAACAAAGUAGAGGUACUGGAAAGUGUUUCUAGAAAGAA